This 253-nucleotide ribosomal RNA is filed under the name uncultured bacterium. RNAcentral describes it as "partial 16S ribosomal RNA". It matches the Rfam family "Bacterial small subunit ribosomal RNA", at positions 524 to 776 of the family's 1533-position model. The record is from RNAcentral.
UACAGAGGUCUCAAGCGUUGUCCGGAAUUACUGGGCGUAAAGGGCUCGUAGGCGGCCAACUAAGUCAGACGUGAAAUCCCUCGGCUUAACCGGGGAACUGCAUCUGAUACUGGAUGGCUUGAGUUCGGGAGAGGGAUGCGGAAUUCCAGGUGUAGCGGUGAAAUGCGUAGAUAUCUGGAGGAACACCGGUGGCGAAGGCGGCAUCCUGGACCGACACUGACGCUGAGGAGCGAAAGCCAGGGGAGCAAACGGG